AAGAGGACAAUGGCCACAGCGCGUCUGAGGACAGGGGCCGUGUUACUCAGGCAACAGCACAUUCAGGCCAAGGCUCCAGGGCCUGGGGGAGGACUAUGCCUGUGCGGGGACCACAUGGUCAAUAGCACUGGAGUCAGAGCAGCAGGCGGCCUCCCCUGGGCUGGAACAGGUGGGACUCUAGGAGCAGCCCAGCCUUACCUGGCAGGAGACAGUGCACACUCCAGAGAUGGGACGGACCCAGGGCUAGCAGGACUAGAAAUUUCAUCUCCAAAGCCAUCGAUGACACCUUGCCUGCAGUCACUGGAGUCCUCAGGCCACCCACUGUGCAAACAUGUCAUCAAGAAGCCAUCAGAGCUCUAAUGACUACAAAGAAGCUCUUCUCCCAGGGAUGAGGACUGGCUUCCUGCGGCUGGCAACAUUCCCACAACAGGCUCUGCAGUGACACAGCAGGCCAGAGGACGGGUGUCAGGACUCCCAGCUGGGAACCCAAUGCACGCAGCCUUCUCUGCUCCUCUCAGCAGCCCGCCAGGAGAAGUGCCACCAGCCUGCCGGCUGCCAAGGCUCAGGUGCGGCAGAUGGGCCACCACUCACACGGGCUGGAGCCAGGGUUUGAACCCAGCCGUACCCUCUGAUUUAUGUGUCAGGCUGGCUGGGCUACGGUGCCCGGUUGCUCAGCCAAAUGCAAAUCUAGAUGUUUCUGUGGAGGUAUUUUGUGGCUAUGACUAACACCUACAAUCAGUUAACUGCCCUGCUUCGGGCUCCUUCCUCCAUCUUCACUGUGCCAGGCCCCCAGCCAGAGAGGGGAUUUAAAGGAGAAUCUGGCUUUGUCCCCGCCUGGAGAAGCUCAUGUGGAUAUAGAACCUGUGACACCUAACACCAUUCGGGGGUGCAAGGAGAGCGGGAGUGGUGGUCACAGAGGUGACCCCAGUACCAGGAGCAGCAUGGGCCAAGGCCCAGGGGCAAGACAGCCCUGUGCUAUUCUCUGAGUCCUUUCCUCCAUCUCUCCACUGUGCAAAGCGUGGGAUUACAAUGCACAUUACAAGGGCUGGGAGACUUAGGGAGGCAGUUUCCUGAGCCCCGUGGAUACUCCCAGAGAUGGGCUCUGAGGCUUUCCUCGCAGGCCAGGGCUGUGGGGGCCUGAACCACCUCCUUCUUUGCAAAGGGACAGCCUGGAGCCACAGCCCAGGGCUGCUGUGAAGUGGUGCAUCUUUUCACCAAGUCACUUCUGGAUGUGACACAGACUGGACCUCAUGAGUGAGGCCCCCAGGGAAACCUCCCAGCCAGGUGGCUGAGCCCCACACCCAGAGGAGGCCAGCCUCAAAGGGAAGACACAGCCAGGAGGGGACAGCGCCUGCCCUUCCUCCGGCCACUGCACCUGCUGUGCACCGGCGCUAUAGCACAGCUGGGCAGAGUGAACCGCUGUCACCUGACUUCACCCACAUAGCAAUUUGUAUCUCUGAGACACUGGGAAAUUGAGGCACAGGUGGAAAUGGCAAUCCGUAGGUUAACACAGCUCAAUCAUUCAGAGCACCUGGACCUGGAGACAUCUCAGCUCUGCCACGUCCUUCUUGCAUGACCUCUAUGCAGUGAAUGCCCUGUGCCUCAGUUUCCCCAUCUGUAAAUUAAGAACCAUCACUGCUUCCUUGUGGGUCGUGAUCAGGAUGGAAGAACACAUUAAGAAGCCUCCUCAGAUGCCUAGCAUGUAAGAAACCUUGAUUAGAAUUACUACUCAGACCACAGAGCCAUUUCAUUAUUCUUAUUUUUGCCAUUAAGCAUGCUGUGAACAUUUGUGAAAUAAAUGAUUUUUCCUGGUGUUUUAUGAAAUGUUUAGACACACAACAAAAUUGAGAAAAAGUGUUUAGUGGGCCGGGCAUGCUGGCUCAUGCCUGUAAUCCCAACACUUUGGGAGGCCAAGGCGGGCGGAUCACAAGGUCAGGAGAUCGAGACC
RNAcentral lists this long non-coding RNA (1948 nucleotides) under Homo sapiens (human). Its description in RNAcentral is "HSALNT0278019". The record is from RNAcentral. Lineage: Eukaryota; Metazoa; Chordata; Mammalia; Primates; Hominidae.